AGAGUUUGAUCAUGGCUCAGGACGAACGCUGGCGGCGCGCCUAACACAUGCAAGUCGAACGGAGAUGAAAAAAGCUUGCUUUGAUCAUCUUAGUGGCGGACGGGUGAGUAACACGUGAGCAACCUGCCUUUCAGAGGGGGAUAACGUUUGGAAACGAACGCUAAUACCGCAUAACGUAUACGGAUGGCAUCGUCUGUAUACCAAAGGAGCAAUCCGCUGAAAGAUGGGCUCGCGUCCGAUUAGCUAGAUGGUGAGGUAAGGGCCCACCAUGGCGACGAUCGGUAGCCGGACUGAGAGGUUGACCGGCCACAUUGGGACUGAGACACGGCCCAG
This 333-nucleotide ribosomal RNA is filed under the name uncultured bacterium. RNAcentral describes it as "bacterial SSU rRNA". It matches the Rfam family "Bacterial small subunit ribosomal RNA", at positions 8 to 334 of the family's 1533-position model. The record is from RNAcentral.